UUCCUCCUCCAUUUCUUUUGAAAAUCUCUACCCACCGCCACAUACUUCCUCAUCCCCAUCUCUUCUUUCUUUCACAAAUCCUAUUUUCUUCUCUACCUGCCUCCUUACCUCUUCUCUUGCUUGCCUGAUUUUCAUCUCUAAUUUUCCAUUUAGUGCCGCAGCACCGCAAAGCUCUUUAACACGUUUGGAUUCACCCCUUUUUACCCGAAGCAUCGCACAGACAUAAUAUUCUUUUUCAGAGAUUAGGGUUGUCAUGCCAUAGCACAACAGCACCAUGGCUUCUCCUUUUCUUUUUCCUUUACUUUUUUAAUUUAUUUUCUGCUACGUUAUAUUGUUUUAAAUGAUUGUGAUUUUGAGGUAAUGAAUUUUUUUUUUUAUCAAUUGGGUUAAUGGAAUUUUGUUGUUCUUGAUAUUACAUUGUGGAUUUGUAAAUGAUUUUAGGUUGCAGGUGAUCUUUAAUGGUUUAUGAUUGAGAUAAUCAUUAAAUUUAGCUGUUUCAUUACCUUCUGCUAUUUUAUUUGUUCCCAAUUUUAAAUGAGAUUUAUUUUGAUUAUUGA
Molecule: unclassified non-coding RNA, 557 nt
Filed under: Hevea brasiliensis (rubber tree)
Lineage: Eukaryota; Viridiplantae; Streptophyta; Magnoliopsida; Malpighiales; Euphorbiaceae
Source: RNAcentral